AUGUCCCUACGGGGCGCAGCAGUGGGGGAUAUUGCACAAUGGGGGGAACCCUGAUGCAGCGACGCCGCGUGAGUGAAGAAGUAUUUCGGUAUGUAAAGCUCUAUCAGCAGGGAAGAAGAAAGACGGUACCUGAGUAAGAAGCCCCGGCUAACUACGUGCCAGCAGCCGCGGUAAUACGUAGGGGGCAAGCGUUAUCAGGAUUUACUGGGUGUAAAGGGAGCGUAGACGGUAUGGCAAGUCUGAAUUGAAA
This 250-nucleotide ribosomal RNA is filed under the name uncultured bacterium. Its description in RNAcentral is "partial 16S ribosomal RNA". It matches the Rfam family "Bacterial small subunit ribosomal RNA", at positions 333 to 599 of the family's 1533-position model. The record is from RNAcentral.